UACGGGGGGAGCAAGCGUUGUUCGGAUUUACUGGGCGUAAAGGGCGCGUAGGCGGUCACUACAAGUCAGUUGUGAAAUCUCUGGGCUUAACUCAGAACGGUCAACUGAUACUGUCGGACUAGAGUGCAGAAGGGGCAACUGGAAUUCCCGGUGUAGCGGUGAAAUGCGCAGAUAUCGGGAAGAACACCCGUGGCGAAGGCGGCUCUCUGGGACGGUACUGACGCUGAGACGCGAAAGCGUGGGGAGCGAACAGG
RNAcentral lists this ribosomal RNA (254 nucleotides) under uncultured bacterium. RNAcentral describes it as "partial 16S ribosomal RNA". It matches the Rfam family "Bacterial small subunit ribosomal RNA", at positions 524 to 776 of the family's 1533-position model. The record is from RNAcentral.